CAAACUGAAUAUAAACACUUGUGUAGAACUGCAGGAUGCUGUUGAGGAGGUGCUCCCCGCGCUGAGAGAGCAGGGCGUCUCGGUCUAUAUACUGACUGACCAUGUGACCUCCGAGGGAACGAAAAGUCUUACAGACAAGAUCAAGCAGGCCUCAGAUGAGCCUGUUCCUGCAGACCUGAGGGCAAACAAACACUAACUUCAACAGCCCAUCGGCGUACAUCUACACGUCAGGCACCACGGGUCCUCCAAAGGCAGCGGUGAUCACUCAUCGGAGGCUGUGGGCCACUGCCUACCUCCCCUCGUAUGCCAGACCACGUUUCAUAAGGAUCCAGAAGAGUUUGGCUGUAACCUGCACCUUCAAACAGCUCAAAGGGAAGUUGUCAGAGGAGGGCUUCAACCCUGCUGCAAUCUCAGAUCCUCUGUUUGUUUUAGAUGAGAAGGUGAACAGCUACAGACCGCUGACUCAUGACACAUAUCAGUCCAUAUUGGAGGGUCACUUCAGAUUGUGAAGAGCAGGAUUUGCUCUUUAUAAUAUGUUCUACAUUUAAUAAGAGAAGUCAAAUCUUUUAUUUGUUCUGAUUCCUAAAUCUACAUUUACACUUACAGGACUGCAACUGUCCAGAGAUCACA
Pimephales promelas (fathead minnow) is the source of this 630-nucleotide non-coding RNA. Lineage: Eukaryota; Metazoa; Chordata; Actinopteri; Cypriniformes; Leuciscidae. The record is from RefSeq and is a predicted model, not a curated record.